Non-coding RNA from Odocoileus virginianus texanus, 326 nucleotides. The record is from RefSeq and is a predicted model, not a curated record. NCBI's taxonomy places the organism in Eukaryota, Metazoa, Chordata, Mammalia, Artiodactyla, Cervidae.
UUGGAAAAGACUGAUUCUGGGAAAGACUAAGGGAACUGUUACACUGCUUCCUACAGUGACAGCACUGUUUUACUUUCCCACCAUCAGUGUAUGACCGUUACCAUUUCUUCACAACCCUGUCAACGCUUAUUAUAUUUUCUGCUUUUUAUUUUUAUAGCCAUCCUAUGAUGAGUGAUGUAGAAGCUGGUGCUGCCACUGUCUUCCCAUACCUGGGGGCUAUGAUUUCACCCAAGAAGGGUACAGCCAUAUUCUGGUAUAACCUUCUGCGGAGUGGGAAAGACAACUAUCUAACAAAAAUGCUGCCUGUCCUGUGCUUGUGGGCUGCA